GCCCAGACUCCUACGGGAGGCAGCAGUGGGGGAUAUUGCACAAUGGGGGGAACCCUGAUGCAGCGACGCCGCGUGAGUGAAGAAGUCUUUCGGUAUGUAAAGCUCUAUCAGCAGGGAAGAAAAUGACGGUACCUGACUAAGAAGCCCCGGCUAACUACGUGCCAGCAGCCGCGGUAAUACGUAGGGGGCAAGCGUUAUCCGGAUUUACUGGGUGUAAAGGGAGCGUAGACGGCAAUGCAAGUCUGGAGUGAAAGCCCAAGGCCCAACCAUGGGACUGCUCUGGAAACUGUGGAGCUUGGGUGCGGGAGGGGCAGGCGGAAUUCCUAGUGUAGCGGUGAAAUGCGUAGAUAUUAGGAGGAACACCGGCGGCGAAGGCGGCCUGCUGGACCGUAACUGACGUUGAGGCCCGAAAGCGUGGGGAGCAAACAGGAUUAGAUACCCCAGUA
This 446-nucleotide ribosomal RNA is filed under the name uncultured bacterium. RNAcentral describes it as "bacterial SSU rRNA". It matches the Rfam family "Bacterial small subunit ribosomal RNA", at positions 329 to 792 of the family's 1533-position model. The record is from RNAcentral.